RNAcentral lists this transfer RNA (85 nucleotides) under Felis catus (domestic cat). It matches the Rfam family "tRNA". From Rfam's summary of the family: Transfer RNA (tRNA) molecules are approximately 80 nucleotides in length. Their secondary structure includes four short double-helical elements and three loops (D, anti-codon, and T loops). Lineage: Eukaryota; Metazoa; Chordata; Mammalia; Carnivora; Felidae. The record is from Rfam by way of RNAcentral.
GCCUAGGUAGCCCAGUUGGUUGGGCAUUCAAUUUCCGCUUAGGUUGUGAUCUCACGGUUCGUGGGUUUGAGCCCCACAUUGGGCU